GCGCCUGUAGCUCAGUUGGAUUAGAGUGCAUCGCUACGAACGAUGAGGUCGGAGGUUCGAAUCCUUCCAGGCGCGCAA
Molecule: transfer RNA, 78 nt
Filed under: Gammaproteobacteria bacterium
Lineage: Bacteria; Pseudomonadati; Pseudomonadota; Gammaproteobacteria
Description: tRNA-Arg
Rfam family: tRNA
About the family: Transfer RNA (tRNA) molecules are approximately 80 nucleotides in length. Their secondary structure includes four short double-helical elements and three loops (D, anti-codon, and T loops).
Source: RNAcentral